This 318-nucleotide ribosomal RNA is filed under the name uncultured eukaryote. RNAcentral's name for it is "partial 18S ribosomal RNA". It matches the Rfam family "Eukaryotic small subunit ribosomal RNA", at positions 1470 to 1796 of the family's 1831-position model. The record is from RNAcentral.
CCCUUAGAUGUCCUGGGCCGCACGCGUGCUACACUGACGCAUACAGCGAGCACUUUCCAGUUCCGAGAGGCUACUGGUAAUCAUCAAUAUGCGUCGUGAUGGGGAUAGAUCUUUGGAAUUCUGGAUCUUGAACGAGGAAUGCCUAGUAAUCGCAGGUCAUUAGUCUGCGAUGAUUAAGUCCCUGCCCUUUGUACACACCGCCCGUCGCUACUACCGAUUUCGAGUGGUCAGGUGAAUCUUUCGGACUGUGGGCGCCCUUGAGGUGUUCGCGGAAAGUCAGGUAAAUCUUAUCACUUAGAGGAAGUAAAAGUCGUAACA